AAAGAUGUAUUUCCUUCUAUUGGUGCAAGAUAAGAAUGUCUAAGAAAGGCGUUUAACUAACCUUAUUAUUUUUUGGAUCGAUAUGUGAUCUUGAAAUCAAAUUUUGAUAAAGACACGAUCCAAUGGACUUGGCAUUGAUUCAAAAGACAUUGUCAUAAUAUGUGAAGUCUUGCUUGAGAAUGCUCUGGGUACUUGGCUAUGGAAGAUAGAAUAGAAAUUGUAACAAAAAAAUACUAACUCUAAUAGAAUACUAACUAAACUCUAAUUACACCAUAAAAAUAUUAAGCAAGCUUUAAUCAAAUUCAAAGAUACCUCAAAGAAAUUACAAAGAAACAAUAAGAAAUCUUAAAAAAAUAUUAUAAUGAUCACAAAUAUAUCUCAAAUAUAUCUUACUUCAAUCUUAAUUUAAUUCUAGUUAAAAAACUAUUGGACUUCAUUCAAACUUUAGGCCAAAAACUAAUUAAAUUUUAAACCCUAAAUAAACUCAAAUAAAAUCCUAAAUCUUAAAUCACAUCCUAAUCAACCUUAAACCAAAUCCUAAAACCUAAACCAAAUCUUAAAAAAAUCCUAAUCCUAAAUAAAAUUCUAACUAAAUCCUAAAUCCUAAACCAAAUCUUAAUCCUAAAUCAAAUCCUAACUAAAUCCUAAUCCUAAAUCAUAUCCUAACUAACUCUAAAAAUAAAUCCUAAAUCCUAAAUCAAAUCGUAACCAAAUCCUUAUACUAAAUUAAACCUUAACCAAAUCCUUAUACUAAAUCAAAUCCUAACCAAAUCCUAAAUCUUAAAUCGAAUCCUAAAUCAAUCCUAAAUCCUAAACUAAAUCCUAAUCCUAAAUCAAAUCCUAAU
RNAcentral lists this long non-coding RNA (845 nucleotides) under Physcomitrium patens. RNAcentral describes it as "long non-coding RNA (PPAT_LNC000602)". The record is from RNAcentral. Lineage: Eukaryota; Viridiplantae; Streptophyta; Bryopsida; Funariales; Funariaceae.